RNAcentral lists this transfer RNA (73 nucleotides) under Nostocoides jenkinsii. RNAcentral's name for it is "tRNA-Lys". It matches the Rfam family "tRNA". Rfam says of the family: Transfer RNA (tRNA) molecules are approximately 80 nucleotides in length. Their secondary structure includes four short double-helical elements and three loops (D, anti-codon, and T loops). The record is from RNAcentral. RNAcentral also lists the same sequence under 1 other name. Lineage: Bacteria; Bacillati; Actinomycetota; Actinomycetes; Micrococcales; Intrasporangiaceae.
GCCUUCGUAGCACAGGUGGUAGUGCUGCCGACUUUUAAUCGGCGGGUCGUAGGUUCGAGCCCUACCGGAGGCA